Molecule: long non-coding RNA, 1103 nt
Organism: Photinus pyralis (common eastern firefly)
Lineage: Eukaryota; Metazoa; Arthropoda; Insecta; Coleoptera; Lampyridae
Exons: 3
Source: RefSeq, a predicted model, not a curated record
GAUGUACAACGACUUGUUGAGUUAAUAUAUAAAUAUAAAAGCAUAGUCGAAUGCAAGAAAACGGAUUAUUAAACUCCAUUCUUGUAGGAUGCAGCUUGGGCAAAAAUCACUGCUGAAUUUAAUUGUGCUGCUGUUGAGCAAAAAACUACUGAUCAAUUGCGCACGAAGUUAGACAACUUAAAAAAGGAGGCCAGGAAACACUUCGCGAAGGAAAAACAGGAACUAGGUAUAUAGGACAGGUGGUGGUGCUCCAGUCGUUAUAAAUAUACGGGAUGUAAUAGAGAAAUAUAUGAAAAAAUUAAAGCUAUUAUAAAUGUCUCAAUUGAGGGAAUUGCCCCCGCCAUAGGUGAUAGUGAUGCAUAUGUUAGCGAUAUUGUACAAACUUCAACCACGAUUUCAACCAAUUCACUACAAGAAUUUCAAGAGGAUGUUUCAGAAGUGUUUAUGGUGGAGCAAGAGACGGAAUCACCUGAAACAGCACCUCUUCCUAUCGAUGUACAGCAAGAAAAAUCAACGAUAGACGAUAGGUUGAGUUGGAGCAGUCAUGUCGACCAUGUUAUACAGAAAUUGUCAAAGUCACUCUUUGUACUAAGGAAUCUUAAACGAUCAAUCAGUGCAGAUACUUUAAAAUCCUGCUACUUCGCACUAUUUCACUCCCAUCUGCAAUAUGGUGUUAUGUUGUGGGGUAAUUCAUCUAAAGCAUAUAGUUUUUAUUCUUAAAAAAAAAGUAAUUCGCAUGAUGGUAGGUGCUGAAAUAUCGUGCUCACUGUCAACCCUACUUUAAGCAAUUGCGCAUUAUGCCAUUACCAUCCAUAUUCAUUUUCGUGACACUAUUGGAAAUUCAUAAAAAUAAAGCUAAUUUUGUUACAAACGACCUUGCUCACUCUUACAAUACCCGUGGAGCAAAAAAUAUUAGGACACCAUAUUGCAGAUUAGAGAUAUCAAAAAAAAUAGUCUACGUGUAGUUUUACAAUAUUCUUCCCGAAUCUACAAAAGCGCUUAACUACAUUAAUUUUAAAAAGAAUGUUAAGAAGCACAUGCUUGAACAUUGUUUCUACUCCGUGCGCGAAUAUUUAAACACUAAGAUGACUUUUGUUCCUAGA